ACUGCAGCAUCUAGGAGAAAGGGUAGGACUGACUUCCCCGGGUGGAUUAGGACAAGGGCCGUGGGGGUGGAGAGCCUCUAGCUCUCCCGAGGAAAGAUGUUUCAAAGCUAGUAUGUGGGCCACAGAGAGCUUCCAGCCCACCACUCUCUGCUUCAGCUCAGCAAGGGAAAGAAGGAAAGCUGCAAGAUAAUUGUCCAGGUUGUUUCCAGCUCAAAGAAAUUUCAGAGUCCACGGGCAAGCAGCUGCUGGCGUCCUGCAUUCAUCCAGUAAACAAACGUCGGAUCUACCACUUACAAAGCGGGGUGAUCUCAGGCCCCCCCGCCCCGCCCCGCUUCUUCGUCUUUUCCCUCACAGGAUUUAUGCUCCGUACAGCUGUGCAGCAAGUGAGGAGUGAGUCUCUACAGCCGGGGAAAAAACAGAAGCCUGUGGAUGCCAACCUCCUAGCAGCCUACAGGAGCCGCACAUACGUUUAAGUUUCACAGCUCCUGAGGAAUUACAGAAACCAAAAUAGAGAGAAAGAGAGCACAGCAGGGGGAGCAGCAGGCAGAGGGAGGGCAGAAGCAUGCUCCCC
This is a long non-coding RNA of Ailuropoda melanoleuca (giant panda), 571 nucleotides long. RefSeq lists it as uncharacterized. The record is from RefSeq and is a predicted model, not a curated record. The transcript is spliced from 4 exons. Lineage: Eukaryota; Metazoa; Chordata; Mammalia; Carnivora; Ursidae.